RNAcentral lists this long non-coding RNA (235 nucleotides) under Homo sapiens (human). RNAcentral describes it as "HSALNT0259547". Lineage: Eukaryota; Metazoa; Chordata; Mammalia; Primates; Hominidae. The record is from RNAcentral.
UUGCCUGGCUGUCAGGUGGCCUCACCCCUUAGUGCCAUCCAGUGAUGAAGUCACCAGGUGGAGGUGGUGCUGGCUAAAACUCGAAGAUUAUUCCUUUACUCUGAGAAUCUCCUCAACAUCCACCAUUCCUGCUAUCUGGAACUCAAGUCAUCAGCAUACAGAACUACAAUCAGAAAAAGAGUCAGCCCCACUGGUGCUUGGGGAGGAUGGUGGGAAGGAAUGAAGAGGACAAGGA